CCAACAUUUAUCAAGGAGUUUAUCCUGGGUGUAUGACAUUAUAGAUGAGCGAUGGAUUGGGGGAUUUAUUUGACAGAUUCAAGGAUGAGAAAAAAAACACUGAUAAUUGCAGUGUUAAGCUUAGCAUUUACUAUUACAUCUAUAACUGGACAAACAACUCCUGACAAUGUUACAACAACAGAACAAACAGCUACAACCACUGCCCCUGUUACAAUAACAGAACUUACAUCUACAACCGGAGAAACAGCUACAACAGAACAAACAUCUACAACCACUGACCCUCUUACAACAACAACAGAACAAGCAUCUACAACAGAACAUACAUCUACAACAGAACAAGCAUCUACAACAGAACAAACAGCUACAACU
Molecule: long non-coding RNA, 369 nt
Organism: Danio aesculapii
Lineage: Eukaryota; Metazoa; Chordata; Actinopteri; Cypriniformes; Danionidae
Exons: 3
Source: RefSeq, a predicted model, not a curated record